This 1246-nucleotide ribosomal RNA is filed under the name Peach red leaf phytoplasma. RNAcentral describes it as "bacterial SSU rRNA". It matches the Rfam family "Bacterial small subunit ribosomal RNA", at positions 153 to 1399 of the family's 1533-position model. The record is from RNAcentral. Lineage: Bacteria; Bacillati; Mycoplasmatota; Mollicutes; Acholeplasmatales; Acholeplasmataceae.
GAAACGACUGCUAAGACUGGAUAGGAGACAAGAAGGCAUCUUUUUGUUUUUAAAAGACCUAGCAAUAGGUAUGCUUAGGGAGGAGCUUGCGUCACAUUAGUUAGUUGGUGGGGUAAAGGCUUACCAAGACUAUGAUGUGUAGCCGGGCUGAGAGGUUGAACGGCCACAUUGGGACUGAGACACGGCCCAAACUCCUACGGGAGGCAGCAGUAGGGAAUUUUCGGCAAUGGAGGAAACUCUGACCGAGCAACGCCGCGUGAACGAUGAAGUAUUUCGGUACGUAAAGUUCUUUUAUUAGGGAAGAAUAAAUGAUGGAAAAAUCAUUCUGACGGUACCCAAUGAAUAAGCCCCGGCUAACUAUGUGCCAGCAGCCGCGGUAAUACAUAGGGGGCAAGCGUUAUCCGGAAUUAUUGGGCGUAAAGGGUGCGUAGGCGGUUAAAUAAGUUUAUGGUCUAAGUGCAAUGCUUAACAUUGUGAUGCUAUAAAAACUGUUUAGCUAGAGUAAGAUAGGGGCAAGUGGAAUUCCAUGUGUAGUGGUAAAAUGCGUAAAUAUAUGGAGGAACACCAGUAGUGAAGGCGGCUUGCUGGGUCUUUACUGACGCUGAGGCACGAAAGCGUGGGGAGCAAACAGGAUUAGAUACCCUGGUAGUCCACGCCGUAAACGAUGAGUACUAAAUGUUGGGUAAAACCAGUGUUGAAGUUAACACAUUAAGUACUCCGCCUGAGUAGUACGUACGCAAGUAUGAAACUUAAAGGAAUUGACGGGACUCCGCACAAGCGGUGGAUCAUGUUGUUUAAUUCGAAGGUACCCGAAAAACCUCACCAGGUCUUGACAUGCUUCUGCAAAGCUGUAGAAACACAGUGGAGGUUAUCAGUUGCACAGGUGGUGCAUGGUUGUCGUCAGCUCGUGUCGUGAGAUGUUGGGUUAAGUCCCGCAACGAGCGCAACCCUUAUUGUUAGUUGCCAGCACGUAAUGGUGGGGACUUUAGCAAGACUGCCAGUGAUAAAUUGGAGGAAGGUGGGGACGACGUCAAAUCAUCAUGCCCCUUAUGACCUGGGCUACAAACGUGAUACAAUGGCUGUUACAAAGGGUAGCUGAAACGUAAGUUUUUGGCGAAUCUCAAAAAAACAGUCUCAGUUCGGAUUGAAGUCUGCAACUCGACUUCAUGAAGUUGGAAUCGCUAGUAAUCGCGAAUCAGCAUGUCGCGGUGAAUACGUUCUCGGGGUUUGUACACACCGCCCGUCA